GGAGGAGCCUCGCCCCGGAAGCGUCUCAUAGCCAACUUCCCCUUGUGCUCCGCCACCGUACGGCCAAGAAGGGGGUCGUCCCCCCUGGCCGUCACCUGAGUCCUCACCACCACCACCGAUUCCAUCUCUUCUCCAGUACUCACCACCCCCUGUGUAUCUCCCUCCCCACAAACCCCCUUAGCAUCACUCUUGUUCUCCAUGGGACGCGCUAUCUGAACAAAGGAGAGAAGACUCGAUCCCCUCUCUGCUACUGCUUCCUGUGAAGAACAAAGGCAUGUCCUCCUAAGGAAGAAAUACCCCUCUUCCUUGUCAUUACUAAGGAAAAAUCCUUCGUGGAUAGGUCGAUCACGACAUUGGCUCAGUCGAUAACACCAUGGAGUUGGUUCAGCGGUUGCCGUGGAUAUCAGUCAUAGCCGGGAGACGAGUUCGCUAACGAGGAGCCCGUUGAGUUUGCUUUCGAGGAUCCAGUCAACUCUGACAACUGUGCAGAUGCAGAGCCUGAUGAUUCCGUUCCAGGAGACGCGUAUGAUCUCAAGUGGGAGUUCGACGAAGACUCUCAACGAUACUAUGUUUCCUUUCCCGAUGAUCAGUAGUGGUGCCCAGUUGGGGGUGAUUGGGACCGUGUCGCAUGUUGGGUUAUCUUUUAUUUUGGUGCCGUAGUCGGGCCAUGAGUGUUUGGAUGAUGUAAUGUUAUUUAUGUACUUGAUUGACGUGGCGA
This 718-nucleotide ribosomal RNA is filed under the name Triticum aestivum (bread wheat). Its description in RNAcentral is "partial small subunit ribosomal RNA". Lineage: Eukaryota; Viridiplantae; Streptophyta; Magnoliopsida; Poales; Poaceae. The record is from RNAcentral.